This is a long non-coding RNA of Mustela lutreola (European mink), 4639 nucleotides long. RefSeq lists it as uncharacterized. NCBI's taxonomy places the organism in Eukaryota, Metazoa, Chordata, Mammalia, Carnivora, Mustelidae. The transcript has 3 exons. The record is from RefSeq and is a predicted model, not a curated record.
UCUUUUUGCAGGAAACAUCCUUAAUGGAUCACCCUAUGUGUCUCUAUGGUUUUGCAGGAUAAAUUUUCCACAAUGGACUUGCAGGAUCAAAGGCCAUACACAUUUUAAACUUUAAUAGAAACUGCAGAUCUCUGUCCCAAAAGAUUGUGGCGGCUUACCCUCCCACCAGCAGUGUCAAAACUGCAUGACUGCCCCCCUCCUCGCUGGCCCUGGCUGUCAUCAAUAUUUAAUAUUUUUUUUCUAAUCUGAUGGGAGAAAAAGAACAUCUCCUUGUUCUUUUCAUUUGUAUUUCCACAACUGCCUGAGAGGCUGCGCGUCUUUUCGUCUGUUUAUUGGCCAUUUGCAUCUCUGCCACGAAUUGCCUGACAGUAUUGUUUGCCCACAUUUCUCUAUUUUUAUUGUGUGUUUUUUCUUAGAGAUUCUCAGGCACUCGUUGGACAUUAAUAUUAACUCUUCGUCUGUCUCAUAUGUGAUCCAUUUCUGGGCCAAGAAGAUCUCUGCCAACUGCCUGGACAGAAUCCCACGAGAUGCAACACCAGGAAUAAAUGCAAAUUCUUAUUCUAGGGUCUGCAAGCCCACGUUACCCUAGGGGGGAGGGGCACAGGGCUGGGGGACCACACAGGGCACGGAGGUCAGUGAGCCCAGCAGGAGGUGACAGUGGGUUACAGCUGCUGAAACAGCUAAAUUGGGACCCUACAUGCAUUCAUGGAGACGGAGGGUUUAAAAUGUUCUACCUCUGGGAAAGGCGUUCAGCUCUGAGCUGCUAGAGAUGCACAAGGAGGGGGCUGGAGUCUCUUCCCCAUGAGGAGCUGGCCCUGCUCAGCCUGGAAGAGCAGGGCUAUUCCAGGACAGGGGAGCAAAUGAGCCAUGAGCCCUGGAGGAGGAGCAAGGCCCUACAGAGAUGCCAGGGAGUUGGGUCCCACCUGAGAGUGAAGAGAAGUUCUUUCCUUAGCUCCUUAUUUUUAGAAUUAUUUCCCAACCACUUCCUCCUCCUUUCCCUGCUUUAUCUUCUUGUAGUGUUUGCAAUUUCUAACAUACUCUAAAUGUUACUAAUUAUGUGCCUGUCUGGGUCUCCACUCUAGAAUGGCAGCUCCAUGAGUACAGAUUUUGGUUUAUCACUAACCCCUUCUGAGGCAUUCUUAUUGUUUUCCCAGUCCAAGCUGUGCAGAAAAUGGUAGUGAGUUCCCCAUUGGGAGAGGUGAGCAAGCAGAAUCUGCCUGGCCACCUAGCAGGCUUUCUGUGCAGGGGAUCCCAAAGUUCAGCCAUGGUCCUCUCACCAAGGUGAGGUCUGGAAGGGCUUUUGGAUCCACAGGAGACCCCCCCUGGGCCUUCCAGAGCUUCUAGGGGCCUGUAAGUCAGCCAGCUGGGACACUAGAGCUCUCCAACUGGGUCAGCUUCUGUUUAUGUCCUCAUCCUGGCCCAUCCUGAGCCCCAGCCCCACCUCCGGCCAGGCCUGUCCAACCUCAGCUCUCCCCCCAGCAUGAGGCCCUCAUGUUUUGGAAAAUCAACCAGCCUCACAUCAGUCUGAAAAUAUCUCAAAAUAUCACUUGCGACUUCCUCCCGCUCCCUGAGUCCCCCUGCCGGGGCGGGCAGCAACCUUUCCCUUGCUGUUGAUUUUCAAGAAGGGCUCUUCCAUUGCUGGGACACAGGGAAUUUCCAGUAUUUUUCUUCCUCUGCCUUUUUUUUUUUUUUCUUGGCCUUCAGACGCCCACAUUGUGUUGUCCUGACGCAGCUCCAGGCAAUGUUUGGCCCCAAAGGCCUGGGCUGGGUCAGUGAGGCCUGGACCAGCAGCAGCCCUGGCUCCUUGGGCGCAGGAACAAUGCCUCCAUAAUUCAUUGAAAACUCCCCUCGGAUGACUUUUUCCUGUUGCUAAUUGUCUCUGCGUUCCAGGCCUGCACAAACUGCUUUUUCCUGCAGCUAAAUUUAAAAGGGCCAGACCCUGGAAACCGUGCACUGCGCUGGCCUCACUAUGAGGGCAAAGGUGGGGAGGCUGGGUGGAAGAAGAGCCUUGAAGCCACCACUUCCCACCAGCACACACACACACACACACACACACACACACACAUACACACGAGUGGUUUUAGCCCUGUCUUCAUUUUUAAUUUCCCCAACCACCCUUCCAGCCCCUUGGGCCCAGUCACAGACUCUGGAGUUCAGCAAAGCCUACUGGGUCUGUAGAGGUCAGAGGGGCCUUGGUGUUGCCCCAAAGCAGGAGGAAGAGGAAGGUCUGGGGAUCCACAGGGCAGGUCAAGAGCCCAUGGGUAUUGGAUUCAUAACAUAAGGUGAGGAAGAAGAUGUUUCUCUUGGGCAGAGCAGAGCAGGGAAAGCACAAGUGGCCAGAAAGGAGUGAGUCCCUCAUUUCUGUGCAAGCAGAGAUGGCAUGCCCAGGGAAGCUGUCAAGGCCUGACCUGUCAGAUGGAAGAGACAGAGAACAUGAGCGGGGAGAGGAGCAGAGGGAGAAGCAGACUACCCGCCCCGCAGGGAGCCUUAUGCUGGGCUCCAUCCCAGGACCUCAGGAUCAUGAAGGCAGAUGCUCAAUCAACACAGCCACCCAGGAGCCCUUCAAACAUAGUUCUUAAGGGAGUGCUCCCAAAUGCUGAAUGAAGAGACUGGAAGGACAAAGUCAGAUGACUGGCACUACCUGCUUCAAGACUUGCUAGAAAGUCCCCAUAACCAAGACGUUGAAGUAGGAGUCAAAGAAUAGGCAGAAAGACCCUUGGAAGAGAAGACAGAGCCCAGAAAUAGAUGCCUUCAAAUAUCUAGUGAUUGUUGACAAAAGAGCAAAAGGAAUACAGUGGAGAAAAGAUAAUCUUUCCUGCAACCAGUUCUGGGAUGACUGGACAUUCACAUGCAAAAAAAUGAAUCUAGACCCAGACCUUCCAAGCUACAUCAGAAGUAACUCAAAAUGGAUCACUGACCUGAAUGUAAACUACAAAACCAUAAAAUUCCUUGAAGGUAACAGAGGAGGAAAUACAGAUGCCCUUCAGUCUGGUGAUGUCUUUUUUAGACACAACACCAAUGAAAUAAAUGAAACACUGGUUAUCUAGACUUCCUUAAAAUUAAAAACUUCUGGAACGCCAGCAUGGCUCAGUCGGUUAAGCAGUUAAGUGAAUGCCUUUGGCUCAGGUCAUGAUCCUGUGGUCCUGGGAUCAGGGUCCUGGGAAGGAGACCCGUGUUGGACUCCCUGCUCAGUGGGGAGCCUGCUCUCUCCCUCUGCCUGCUGCUCCCCCUGCUUGUGUGCUCUCUCUCUUCACCCCUCCGCUCUUUCUCUCUGACAAGUAAAUAAAUAAAAUAUUUUAAAAAUUAAAUUAAAUUAGAUUAAACUAAAAACUUCUGCUCUGUGAGAGACAAUAUCAAGAGAAUGAGAAGACAAGCCACAGAUUGGGAAACAUUAUUUGCAAAAGACACAUCUGAUAAAAGACUAUAAUCCAAUAAAAGAUAAAUAACUUAAAAUUCAGCAACAAAACGAGCAAGCCACUUAAAAACAGGCAAAAGACCUGAACAGAUACCUGACCAAAGAAGAUAACAGAUGGCAAAUAUGCUAUGAAAAGAUGCUCAAAAUCGUAUGCCAUCAUGAAGGUGUCAAUUAGACAACAGUGAGAUAACACUAUGUAUAUAUUAGAAUGGCCAAAAUCCAAAACACUGACAACACCAAAUGCUGACAAGGAUGUGGAGAAACAUGAACUUUCAUUUGGUGCUGGUGGAAAUGCAAAAUGGUACAGUCACUUUGUAAGACAGCUUGGUGGUUUCUUACAAUAAUAAAACUACUUUUCCCGUGUGAUCCAGCAAUUGAGCUCCUUGGUGUUUACACAAAGGAGUUGAAAACUCAUGUUCAUACUAAAACCCCCACACAGAUAUUUAGAGCAGCUUUAUUCAUAACUGCCAAAACUUGGAAGCAGCCAAGAUGAUCGUCAGUAGGUGAUCGGAUAAAUAGACCAUGGUACGUCCAGAUAAUGAAAUAUUAUUCAGUGCUUAAAAAAAAAAAAAAAAAAAAAAAAAAAAGAGCUACCAGACCAUGAAAAGACAUGGAGGAACAUUAAAUACAUAUUGUUAAGUGAAAGAAGCCAAAGGGGAGGGAAGGAUGAGUAGAAAGAGGGCAGAGGAUUUUCAGGGCAAUGAGAUUACUCCGUGUAAUACUACUACGGUAGAUACACAGUUUUAUGCAUUUGUGGAAACCCACAGAACGUACUUCACCAAGAGUGAACCCUAAUGUCAACUGUGGAUUCAGUUGAUAACGAUGUGUCAGUGGAGAUUCAUCAAUGAGAACAAGUAUCUCACUCUGGCGGGAGAUGUUGAUAGCGAGGAGGAGAGCUGUACUUGACCAGGAGUGUGGGGAGGGGGGCAGGUAGUACCUGGGAACUCUCUACACUUGGCGCUCAGUUUUGCUGUAGACAUAAAACUGCUCUAAAAAAUAAAGUCUAUUCUUAAAAAAUUGCAGGCAAUGAGAGUCCCUUCCUCCAGGGGCUAAUAUCAGGCCUGAACAAGAGCAUACAAGGACAGCUCUUAGGGUAGAGUGUAAAAGAAGAGUUCAUUAAUUUGGAAACCAAAGGAAACACAGAGUCAGAGUCAUCCUCAAAAGAUGCACAUUUGCGGACUCUGGAGGCGUGAGGAGGAGAGAAUCUUUAGAGACUCUUCCCUU